This 253-nucleotide ribosomal RNA is filed under the name uncultured bacterium. Its description in RNAcentral is "partial 16S ribosomal RNA". It matches the Rfam family "Bacterial small subunit ribosomal RNA", at positions 524 to 776 of the family's 1533-position model. The record is from RNAcentral.
UACGUAGGGUGCAAGCGUUAUUCGGAUUCACUGGGCGUAAAGAGCACGUAGGCGGUUUGCCAAGUCUGAUGUGAAAUCCCUGGACUCAAUUCAGGAACUGCAUCGGAUACUGGUUUACUCGAGUAUAGGAGGGGAGAGCGGAAUUUCUGGUGUAGAGGUGAAAUUCGUAGAUAUCAGAAGGAACAACGGCGGCGAAAGCGGCUCUCUGGACUAUAACUGACGCUGAGAUGCGAAAGCGUGGGGAGCAAACAGG